This 464-nucleotide ribosomal RNA is filed under the name uncultured bacterium. RNAcentral describes it as "partial 16S ribosomal RNA". It matches the Rfam family "Bacterial small subunit ribosomal RNA", at positions 29 to 507 of the family's 1533-position model. The record is from RNAcentral.
ACGAACGCUGGCGGCGUGCUUAACACAUGCAAGUCGAACGGAAAGGCCCCUUCGGGGGUACUCGCGUGGCGAACGGGUGAGUAACACGUGAGUAACCUGCCCUUGACUUCGGGAUAACUUCAGGAAACUGGGGCUAAUACCGGAUAGGAAUCCUUGCUGCAUGGUGGGGGGUGGAAAGCUUCGGCGGUUUUGGAUGGACUCGCGGCUUAUCAGCUUGUUGGUGGGGUAGUGGCGUACCAAGGCUUUGACGGGUAGCCGGCCUGAGAGGGCGACCGGCCACAUUGGGACUGAGAUACGGCCCAGACUCCUACGGGAGGCAGCAGUGGGGAAUAUUGCACAAUGGGCGGAAGCCUGAUGCAGCAACGCCGCGUGCGGGAUGACGGCCUUCGGGUUGUAAACCGCUUUCAGCAGGGGCGAAGCUUGUGGUGACGGUACCUGCAGAAGAAGCACCGGCUAACUACGUG